ACAAAUAUGUACCUAGUUGCAUAUACAGCUAGUAACCAAAUGCCAUUCGGAGGUCUUCUGGAGUGCUAGUGCUAGUGUGUGUUCAAUCAGGUUUAGGAACAAUGGCAACCUCUGCAACUCCUCAAGAUAUGCUCGUCGCUGAUAAUACUGGUGGUGAGUGUGAUACUGGUUCAGCAUCAGUCCCAAGUGUGCAGCGGCUCAUCGGCCUGGAUACGGUCAACGUGCACCAGAAGAGCUCAUCCUUCAGCGGCAACUAGUACACUGUGCUCUCUGGCGGUGACGUGCUGCUCUCCUUGAAGGAGGAUGGCCACGCCUUCACCUUCCUCUCCAAAGCCAAGAGCAGGCAGUUCAGAAUGGAUGGACUGGACAACAUGGGCAGAAAGGUGUUAGUUCUUCAUCGACCUGCCGUUCUUUUUUGUUCAGAUAGUAAGCUGAUGCUGUACAUGGACGGAAACCUGGUCAGCAUUAUUCACGAGGAAAUAACUUUCAUGAAAGCGGUGUUCUUGAUCCAAGAUCCUAACGGCUCCACGGUACUCAGGGUUAAGGGUGAUUUUACUCAUCAUAACUUUCAGGUAACUACAUCUAUGUGUCUUUGCAUU
Molecule: RNA transcript, 599 nt
Organism: Helicoverpa armigera (cotton bollworm)
Lineage: Eukaryota; Metazoa; Arthropoda; Insecta; Lepidoptera; Noctuidae
Exons: 3
Source: RefSeq, a predicted model, not a curated record